Molecule: long non-coding RNA, 6419 nt
Filed under: Ananas comosus (pineapple)
Lineage: Eukaryota; Viridiplantae; Streptophyta; Magnoliopsida; Poales; Bromeliaceae
Description: long non-coding RNA (ACOM_LNC042096)
Source: RNAcentral
GCAGUUUAUGCAACCAUGCAACCAACUAGUAGUUCAAUCGAUACUACUUUUAUUCCUGUUAUUCACAGUUCAACCAAUUGACUUCUAAGUUUUCCUCUAUCUUAGAUUCUUGUCAAUUACAAUUCUGCUCAUAGGGUUUAACCUGCUUUUAUAAGCUAUCCACUCGACUCAGUCUUGAGUCAAUCACACGCGGAAUACCGCACAAAGUCGGGCUCAAGGUGAAGGAUGUCUCACAUGCACCUCAGCCCUAAAUCCACUCAACUGGGAUGCAACUAAAACUUAUACCAUGCAUCAAAUAGUAAUGGUUUACUAUCAUGCUAACGAAUUCGAUCCAUGUUUAAAUAAUAAUGUUCAAAGACAUUGUUCACUGUUCUUUUACCCAAUCUGUAGCGAAGCCCUAGGGUUCGCCAAUAACUCACCUUUCAAUCCCAAAGUGGGGAGGGAGCUCCAAGUGCACCCAAGCCCGGGACCGUCUGCGGACCUCCAUGUGGUCCGGACCUCCAAGUGGUCCUAGUCGCACGACACUCCGGAGUACUCGACGACAAUCCCCUCCAUGUGGGAUUGGAUGGCUAUACCACCCUAAACGCAGACUGUGAGCUAGAUCUAUCCUCUCCAAGUGAGGAUACACUGUAACUAGGGUCAACACCCAAUCCAAUCCUCUCCAAGUGAGUAGGCUCUACAACUAGAGUCAAUAAUCCAAUCGAAUCCUCUCCAAGUGAGAAUGCUCUACAACUGGAGUCAACAACCCAAUCAAAUCCUCUCCAAGUGAGGAUGCUCUACAACUAGAGUCAAUAUCUCAAUAACUCAUCGACAACCUCUCCAUGUGAGGGUACUUAGGUUUACUAAGUUCUUUAUCCACAAGGCAUUUUCUAAGGGAUUCACCUAUCCCUAGGUUCUCAAACCUCUAGUGUCAAAUACACUACAUUAAUGCCACUCGAUAUGUUCUUGUUUUCCAAAGUCAAUUUCUCUAAUCGACCAAGUUCAACAUGCAUAAUUCAUCUACUAUGUUCCAUAAUAUGGCAACAUGCAUAAUUCUUCUAUCAUAUUCAAUAUAUGUCAUCAUGUAUGUGUUUCUAUUUAACAUAAUCCACAUAUCAUCUCAUUGGUAGGUAAUAUCAACUACAUAAUAUGUUUCAAGCAUUCAUAUUAUCAUGUAAGCCUACCAAUACAACUAUAUGCAUCAAUGUGAAUUCGUAUGUUUCUUAGACAUAAAGGGCGACCUAGUCGCUUCGGUAAGCACAACCCACCUCAAAUCGCUUUCCGAUUGCUUGUCGACACUUGGAAUCGGCCUCCCGCGGCGCCCGUAACCCGGUUUGGCCCGAUCUCGCGCGCGACCACCCGAACGGCCUCCAAUUCACGAUCUGAAAAUUAAAGGUCUUCGGUUAUGUGCCACGGUGCUUCAAAUCCGUUUCAUGGGUUUACGAUGUCGCCUCGGCCCUCCAGGCGGAAACGAAGCCUAAACGUCCGUUUCUUUAAUAACUUCGCACCGGCUCGACGAAUCGCCGAACCGUCUUCGCCAACGCGUUCGUUUACCUAGCAAUUAGGUUUACGGAGGGUCAAAUUAGAUCAAACCCUUAUAUUUUACAAAACCCCAUUCGGAGCCCUAAUAUGCAAUUAACCUUAAAAUAAUCCAAAUUAAAUGGAUCAACAUGCUAACAAAGCUCAUUAGAGGCUAUUAGAACACUUAAAGCUAAGGAUUAAGCCAAAUUUCAAAAGCUUACCACAAUGUGAACGCCGCGACGAAAAUAUGCCGCUCCAACGGGCGCACGAAAGCUCGAUCCGUCGCCUCCAACGCAUUCGCAAGCAUCUUCUCCACCAACCCUCCAAUUUUUAGAGAGAGAUUUAGAGAGAUGAGAGAGAUCUCUAGAGAGAGAAGGGAGGGUUUCCCUCCCCCUCCAUGCGUGUGUGUGUGUGUGUGUGUGUGGUGUGUGUGCGGCUGAAGGAGAAGAAGAGGAGUCAACACUCCACUUUAGUCAACACCACAACACUAUUCACUCCCGGGCAGUUCGAAAUCUGAUAUCUUUCGCCGGAACUCCCUGAACAUCCGUUUGAGCUCAAAGUUCACAGUUAUGUUCGGUUUUAUGUACUGAGUAAGAAUAUAUUUUAAGUUUUCAGUUUCGACCCCGUUUGGUCACUGAAAACUAUAUCGAACUGUAAUUUUUAUCAGAUAGCUGUCGGAUUUUAUUUCUCACUCUACGGGUGUCAAAAAAAUAUGAAACUUUAAAUCUAGUCUCAUAAAAAUAUUUCUGACUUAUCCUCCAAUUUUCAUAAUUUUCUGAGACUGUGCAUUUUCUGCCUAUUUAUCUGUCCCGUUUCCAACAGAAAAUUCUAGAUCUUCUAUUUUCAUUUCGAUUUCAGCACAAGUCACUUCUAACUUAUGUUUUACUCCUCUAAAUCCAAUAAAAAUAGUAUCUCACACUAUUUUUAUUUAUUUUUAUUUUUAUAUUUAAAAUUCGGUAUAUUACAUUCCACCGCAACCUCACCGGAAUCAUUCAAAUGGCUUUCAAGCCAAAUGUACACCGUAACUUCCUAAUUUAGAAGUCCGGUACCUUACAUCCUCCCCUCCUUAACAGAGUUUCGUCCUCGAAACUAUCUCACUUCAAUUCCAAUUCAUACCCCAACUCAACUUAUCAAAUAGUUGGGAGUUCCAAUGCACUUUUGCAUCUCGGAGUGGCCUUUCACUCAUCAGAACUAUCCAAAGGUUCACUAUGGAGGAUGUGAGGCCAAUCUCACUCACAUAUGCCAUGUGUAAACCCAAAAGUGCAUUACCACCAUGCAAAGAACUACUCUUGCAUUAUACACCCAAUCGAAAAAUUUCACUCCGAUUCGAUCACCUACAUUGCUUAGAAGCAAUAUCGUUGGUGACUCGACCAAUCGCGAGUGGUUCAUCACAACCGGAUCCUUGCUCUAUCACGAGAUGGCCCACUCCGGCACAUCUCCAAUCUCAAUCCACAAAAGAGCAUUGUCCUCAAGCUCCAAUUCCUACGUGGCUAUCCACAUCUCAAUGUCACACAAGAGCACUUCGCCCUUGAUAUCAUAAGCCACGACCAACUCUGCUUUGCUCUUGCGACAAAUCCAUACGAACCCUCCGUUCGUGAAUCCAAGCCAAACUCACUAAUAGAGUUAUCGGCUAAACCGAUUACGUCGGUUUCCAUCGGUGGACCAACGGUCACCCGUCCUACGUAGGUCUACCGCCUAAACCUCUUACAACUACGCAUAGCGUCCCUCGCUCACCAGCGUAGACCCAAUCAUAAUCGGGCGAGAUUCUCAUUGGAGAAUUCGCACACACUCCAACCAGGAGCAACCGUGACCCCAAACCACCUCAAAUCCUCGGGUUGGGUCACUACACACUCGGUGUAUCCUCGAUCUCAUGAUCCAACACGUGGCAUUCCACGCUCCCGGGUCUAAGCUCGGACUUCCGUCCUGACCGAAUCUCUGCCCUACCCGUAGGUACCAGGCCGCUGUCUCUCACAGCUGAUUGCGCCUGCCCAAAGGGCCCAGGCUCCACAGUCCACAAAUGGUCCAGGCAUGGGUUGUCCCCAAGCACUACCAGCCGUCGUCGUACCACACGACAUACUCUAUCGAGCUAUAAAUACACUAUCGGCUCCUAAGCACCUAGUGCGAGCCACCAGCCCUACGAGUGAUCCAUGGCCCGCUUCACACUUAGCAAUGCUGAGUGCUACUGCCAACUCACUCUCCCGGCUGAAUCGAAACCGCACUCUACGAGUACCCACACUCGAGCACUCUAUAUGCCUCUAUAGCGUUCUACACGAAGUCCAGCAUUAGGCAAUCUUGCCUAUGCACACCAGUCGCACGAGCGCAACCACCUACCUCACCUUGAGGUACUAUUAGGCCCACGUGCUCAAACUUGGCCACUAAUCGACCGUUCUCUCAACAGUGAUGCUACUUUCACUGUUCGAUAUAUCGGAAUGACAUCCGAAAUUUUCGAACUACUUGGGUGUUCUCAUAAGCAUCAUGGCUCAACUCUCGCAAUUUACUACUCAUAUUGCUCUGAGAGUCGUUUCGCCACUUCUAUCUCUACCGCGAGUCUCACUUCUCGCCAUAGAUUACCUCUAGCACUUCGCUAGUGCCAUCUGGCUCUAUACCUGUACUGGCAGGUACUACGCCCUCAGAUAACACAAAACUCCAUUUCUAGAGCAAUCAAACCUAUCUCUAGAAAUCCACCAUGAGAGAGAGCUUAGAAGCUUACCUCUCCAAGAAGCUCCAACCAAGGAGAAGAUGAAGAAGAUAAGGAAGACCUCCUUCUCCUUCUCUUUCUUUCCUUUCCUUCCUUCUUCCUCUUCUUGUCUUCUAGAGAGAGAAAGAGAGAUAUGAGAGGGUGUGUGGGUGAGAAAUGAGAUAAAAGAGCUCUCAUACUCCUCACAUAGCCUCACGUGUUGCAUAAAUGCAAAUAAGCCCCUCGACUUUCAUCCUUGUGCACAGCCCUCACUCGGCAUUUUGCGCCCAGAGGGACCGGUCCCUCGUCGGGGAGACCGGUCCCCGAGAGCCCUCUCCGCGGCCUGGGGACCUUUCGCGUACGGGAACCGGUCCCCACCCGAGAGACCGGUCCCUGGGAGACCGGUCCUUCCUGAGAGACCGGUCCCCGAGAGCCGAAUUUUCAGGACUUAGCCUUUCUUUGCCCUUCUCUCGCUGGUGUCGCAUACGGGGACCGGUCCCCUCAACCAGGGACCGGUUGCAUCAACCUCCCCCGCAACCAUCAGCUACGGGGACCGGUCCUCCCUUCCAGGGACCGGUCCCCGAGAGCAAAAUCUGCUAAGUCCAGAUUCUUGCAUAUUUGCUCUCGUGGACACGUUUCCAAUGCACUUUUUGUGUUUUGGACAUCUUUAGCUUUUCCGAAGGAUACUCACUCGACAAAGAGUCGAUCCUGAACGAAGCACAACUCUUGAAUUUCGAGAAUUCACUUCCUUACAUGCACAACCUCGACCACGUCUGGCUAAGGUCUCCGCUGAGGCAUUACCCUACCACUCACACGAGAGUGGCCAAUCACUCGCGAAGUCCCAAGUCUCCGCUCGUUUCGGAUUGCUUAGGGACGCCACUCGUCCCAUCCCACGCCGAUCUAGAUUAAGAUCGCCUACGCGGUGCUAUCGCUUCCUAAGACACGACAACUCGGUCGAUUCUCGACCCUCAAUGUCUAGCGCGAAACAACUGACACCGACUCGAAUCGGGCGAAAGUCAUGCAAGGGUGUCUAUUCUCAUCACUCGGUUUCAUGUUGUGUAUACCCAACAUGAACACCCUCGGUUGAAAAUAAACCACACCUCGAGUCUACCUCUAACAUCCGUUUUAGAGGUUUACUAACCUGACCCAAUUGAUCAAUCUUUCGCCAUAAGUCACAAGUCCUCGUAUCUCACGAGCCUUAUUCUCCUAUGGUUUACUGUCCUAGGGUCUCCUAGGUCCAUCUAAACAAUUGCCCAUUCUCUACUUUCUGCUCUGAUACCACUAUUAUCUGUCACGACCCGCGACCACCUGCCUAUUUGGCCGGGUCGCGGCGCCGCCGACAGACCGCCGAACGGACAGAGUCUCCCCUGUACGUCCUAGGCGUCGCAAUCAAUUCCAAUACAAGAAGUUCCAACCAGGAACAGUAUUCAAGCAAGAUUGCAUAAGAAAGGUAUCAAACAACAUAACACAUCCUAUGUUAUUACAAGCAUUCCUAUUAGAUUCAUUUUUACAUCACAUUUGCAUUAUUACAUUACAUUUUCUUCCAAAUACAAUCAAUGAUCGCAAUAUUAUUACAAGUUUGCUCUUUUUCUUUUCCCUCUACCCCUAGGCUAUGCCGACUCGGGGUACCUCUAUCUCUGGUCUCUCGGGUAGGGCGCUAUCUAUGGAGCUACGCCCUCGCCUCGCGCCGCCGCGCCGCUCACGUGUGAACCUGUAACACCCCAAAACAACGUGGGGUGAGAACCAACUCCAUGGUUCCCAGUGGGUACGGCCACCCAAGGGAAAAGCUCGACCAAUAGGUCUAAGGAGGCCCUGCAACAUGUUAGUCCAACAGAUAUCCAACAGAUAUAUAUAUUCAAGUAUUGAAAUACAUGUUGUGCCUCACAAAAUGCAAUAUGAAAUUCAUGCAGUUUAUGCAACCAUGCAACCAACUAGUAGUUCAAUCGAUACUACUUUCAUUCCUGUUAUUCACAGUUCAACCAAUUGACUUCUAAGUUUUCCUCAAUCUUAGAUUCUUGUCAAUUACAAUUCUGCUCAUAGGGUUUAACCUGCUUUUAUAAGCUAUCCACUCGACUCGGUCUUGAGUCAAUCACACGCGGAAUACCGCACAAAGUAGGGCUCAAGGGGAAGGAUGUCUCACAUGCACCUCAGCCCUAAAUCCACUCAACUGGGAUGCAACUAAAACUCAUACCAUGCAUCAAAUAGUAAAGGUUUACUAUCAUGCUAACAAAUUCGAUCCAUG